This 74-nucleotide transfer RNA is filed under the name Candidatus Caldipriscus sp. RNAcentral's name for it is "tRNA-Pro". It matches the Rfam family "tRNA". Rfam says of the family: Transfer RNA (tRNA) molecules are approximately 80 nucleotides in length. Their secondary structure includes four short double-helical elements and three loops (D, anti-codon, and T loops). The record is from RNAcentral. Lineage: Bacteria; Candidatus Caldipriscota.
CGGGGCGUGGCGCAGCCUGGUAGCGCGCCCGGUUCGGGACCGGGAGGUCGGAGGUUCAAGUCCUCUCGCCCCGA